CCGGCUAACUACGUGCCAGCAGCCGCGGUAAUACGUAGGGGGCGAGCGUUGUCCGAAUGACUGGGCGUAAAGGGCGUGUAGGCGGCUUUAUAAGUCUGGAGUGAAAGUCCUGCUUCAAGGUGGGAAUUGCUUUGGAGACUGUAGAGCUUGAGUGCGGAAGAGGUAAGUGGAAUUCCAGUGUAGCGGUGAAAUGCGUAGAGAUUGGGAGGAACACCAGUGGCGAAGGCGACUUACGGGCCGUAACUGACGCUGAGGCGCGAAAGCGUGGGGAGCGAACAGGAUUAGAUACCCUGGAGUCCACGCGGUAAACGAUGAAUGCCAGGUGUUGCGGGUAUCGACCCCUGCAGUGCCGGAUAAACACAAUAAGCAUUCCGCCUGGGGAGUACGGCCGCAAGGUUGAAACUCAAAGGAAUUACGGGGGCCCGCACAAGCAGCGGAGCAUGUUGUUUAAUUCGAAGCAACGCGAAGAACCUUCCAGGUCUUGACAUCGAGGUAAAGCCACAGAGAUGUGGUGUCUCUUCGGAGGACCGAAGAAGGUGGUGCAUGGUUGUCGUCAGCUCGUGUCGUGAGAUGUUGGGUUAAGUCCCGCAACGACGCAACCCUUAUGGUCAGUUACUAACACGUAGCGGUGAGGACUCUGACAAGACUGCCGGGACAACUCGGAGGAAGGUGGGGACGACGUCAAAUCAUCAUGCCCCUUAUGACCUGGGCUACAACGUGCUACAAUGGUGGCUACAAAGAGGAGCGAGACCGUAAGGUGGAGCGGAUCUCAAAAAGCCAUCCCAGUUCGGAUUGUGGGCUGCAACCAGCCCACAUGAAGUUGGAGUUGCUAGUAUCGCGGAUCAGCAUGCCGCGGUGAAUACGUUCCCGGGCCUUGUACUCACCGCCCGUAA
Molecule: ribosomal RNA, 893 nt
Filed under: uncultured Clostridia bacterium
Lineage: Bacteria; Bacillati; Bacillota; Clostridia
Description: bacterial SSU rRNA
Rfam family: Bacterial small subunit ribosomal RNA
Source: RNAcentral